GUUCUGUGACGUCUUUGUCACUUGUCGAUUCCAGACCGCCGGAGAAGGGAAACUGGAGAAAAGAAUAGACAACCCAAAAAUGUGACUCACUAAGUGACUCAUAGCGGCGCGAUUGAUAUGAUGGUAAUGGUAAUUUUAUCAUUUUAGUAAUUUCGUUGGUUUGAAAUUCCCAACAUGAAUUUCUUUUCUCCACCGUAUGACUUUAAUUUAUGUAACCAUUUUCCAACUGAAAUUCGUAAGUAUGAAUAACAAACGAACGUAGAUGUUGGUCGCAUUUUUCGAUUCCAUGUUUUGCGGCAGAAAAAAACACCGCGCUUCCAGACCAGUAACAUUCAGACAAAUAAAUAACAAACCGAACAGGGCGGAAAAUGAAAAUGUGACACUCGAAUGGCAGCCAACAUCAACUGCGUCCCCCCUUAGGGACAUACUAAAAGUAGCACAGCCGAGUGGCGUAGGUUAAUCUACGAACAAGAAGCUAUUUUGAAUGAUGCUCAAGGACUGAUCGUAAAGUGGAAUCGCCUUUUUGCAGUAACAAAAGACAAAACAGCCGAACAAAAACACACAAAAGCAUAAACUUCGUGAAUAUUCAAAAGCGAACCUGUCACCUUUCCCUCGCAGAGGGAAAAUUAUGCUUUAUUUACGCAGAAUUACUUCUCACUCCUCAUAUGCUACAUUUAGUCCAAGUAAUGGUAACUGCGAAACAGUGUGGAUUUUACGAGCCGUAACAUAAAAGGGGGAGACCCACUGCUCGAUAUUACGUAAUUGCGAUUCAGAGCAGAGUAUGAUCAUGUGUGUGUGUCUGUUUGUACGUGCGCGCACUUACUGCUGCCGCCAGAAUCCGACGGAAUUUCCCGUAGCUCUUCUGCUAGGUAAUGAAAUGCAGCGCUUUUCCCUCUGUUUGUAAACAUUUGGCGUCGUCAUUUGGCGAACGUUGAAGACGUCGCAAUUGCGUUUUCAGAUGGAUGGAUUGAAAUUGCAUGUGCCCAAUGCUGGAGGUUGGCGGGAAAAAUAUGGAAGAAAAAUAUCUACAAUGAAUUCGUAGAACGUGGCCCGAAUAGCUCAUUGCGCGGUUGGGCCCUCAUCAUGGGAGGUCCCGUACGAGCUUGUAGACGGACAAAAAAAUCGGGGAACAAUCGUAAGAUUCGGAAGUUGGUCUAUAUUCUAACCACUUGACUUCUUCGGUUGUGAGCACACGGGGCGGAACGGCAAGGAUUACAUGCUGUGAUAAUGCAGGCUGCCUGGAGGGGGAAUUGGUUUCCAACCGACGUAAGAUAUUUUUGUUUUCAUUGUUGUUUGUGUUGGGGAAGGUUAUUAGCAUAUUGUACGUAAAGGAGAAUUACGAUGCGUCAUGAUUGGAAUUUGAUGCUGGCACUGGCUUGUUUGAACAAUUGCACAUUAAGAAUACACAUUAGACUGGGACACGGUUAUAUGGGAAAAAAGCGAUGGUGAUAUUUUUUCGCUCCCAUGCAUUUUUCGUGUUCCUUAUGGAUCCUAGAACAACUGUGUAACUUUUCAGAUCGAUCGGUAAAACGCCCGAUUUGCGCCUGAUUUUUAAAGUUUCCAUACGAUUUUGUAUGGGAAAAUUCACUUUUUCAAAACUUAUUCUCUAGAAAUUCCCAGUUGGGUCCUAAAAUAUAUCGAUACAUGAUAUUUGUAGGAAAUUUUCCUGGGAGAAACUCUUCUGAAGACCGUAAAAUUGUUAAAAAUCUGUCCACGUGGUAUGUGGAUGGCCCCUGAGUGAUAUCCCUCCAAGUCUGUCGUUUAACGUCUAGGACGGAGGGGUCACCCAUAUACUGCCGUGAUAUAACAUUAUGACGUACAUCCAUUUGAUCAGUUUCUCAAUACCGCCCACAAACGAACGGGUUACCCGUCACUUUUGUAUUCAAAUAAUGCAUACGUCAUUUUUUUUUCUUGAUUUUAUGCAACGUACGAAUAAGUUACAACUAAAAGAAAGAUACCAAGAGAGGGAUCUUCGAAUAACGAACAAAUUGGCAUAAGAACCCCUUAUUUGAAAACAUGGCGCUUACGUAAUAGAUAAUUAAAAUGUUUUGAAAUUGUUAUAGUCAAGUGAUUAAAAUACUGAAUACGUCAAAAAUGUGAAUUUGUUAAAAAGACUUAACUGAUGUAGAACUUGCUAUUACAGUGCUAAACGGUUUAAAAAGAUCGGAAGACAAGAUCGACAGGAAAACUAUACGUAUAUCUAUUAAAACAAGGGAAAAAGGCUGUUCGAUAGCAGAGCGGAGGGCGAAUGGAUUUGUAUCCGUUGUUACUGAGCAGCGACACCAAUCACGGAGUUGUAGGUUAUCUGGAUUACUACACGCAAAAGUUGAAGUCUUGUACAAUCAUUGUGUUCUCCCGAUUCGCACAAAUGUUGCACAGAAAUCGCACAAUAAAUGUGUGAAACGCAUAACGCAACAGUUGUACUGCGAAUACAUUGACAUAGAAUGAAAUCAGAAUAUGUAUCAUAUACCGACACUUUAUGUCUCACGUCGAGUGUAUUAGUGACUGCUACUCAUGGUGCAGUGCAAGCGACGAGAGAAAUUUCUCUCUCGCUCGUAGAAUUUCAAUGCACGUGCGACAAGACUAGACACGUCACUUACAAUUUGCAGGUUGCUCUUUCGCUUCUCUUUCGGUUCGGAUUGCGACGCGCAAGACGAUACCUUGUUGCUUCACGAAAUGAGCGAGACACCCGUGCUGUACAUACUUGAUACCAGUGUUGUUAAUCUCACUCAUACUGUCGGUGCGUGCUUGCUGCUAUUCAGAGGAAUCCAUGAAGAAGAAAAAGUAUCUCGAAAGCGUGUGUGCAAAAGGCUUGAAAAGCGUAGCAUAUGUCUCGUCCUCAAGCAGAAAGGAGGAGAAUGGUUUUGCUUCUCGCUCGCUUUGCAAUGCUGCUUGAACUGUUUAGGUGUAGUAGUUUGAAGCUGCCAAAUACAUUGGAGAAACGCUAGAGCAUUAAUUGCGUUAUGCCCAACACGCAAUCAUUGUACUGGUUCCGAAUUACAUCAACAAUUGCUUUAAAAACGCACAAUUUUGUACUGGUUUCGCACCAUCCAACUUUUGCGUGUAGUGUCUGGAUUACUAGUGGCAAUUGAGGUCCGAGAGAAUUCACUUAGCAGUUAACACAGUAGCGCGGAACUGGGAGAUCGACCAGUUGGCAGUAAGGUUAUCCUGAUAACACAUAGAAUAUUCAGUCUUAACUUUAUUUGCUCUUAACAUUUUGUAUAAUUAUAACUUUUACUAUUCACACAUGAUUAUUUAAGGUUUAACAGAUUUACAACACAACUAUGUGUUCUCUUGGCGUUUACAUAAUGACUAACUCUCAACUGCAGCCAAAUAGGUAUUUAUAGCUGAUCAUCACAAUAUUCGCAUUGUUGUGAUGCUGGAAGAAUAUUUAAUUGUUAGAAGUGAACGCGCGCAAACUGGUGUCACUGGGUGUAGCUUGGCCGUAACGCGCAUAGUAUAGUCUGUGUAAUCUGCUUGGGGUAUCUCAACAAAGGUAAAGCAAAUUAUGUACAGAUAUUAGGGUUAGAAAUUAAGGCGAUUAAAUGUAACCCAAGGGUAACUAGUUCUUACAACAAGAUGGCUAAUUUUCGUCGAAUAGGUCCUCGAGGGGCAUUUUAUUGUUGGUUCUAGCUCUACACUCGAGGCGGUGCGAUGCAUUAUCAGGGGACAAAGAGUUUGAACCCGCCAUUUUGUGGAACGCUAAUCUAACGCAUUCAUACCUUGGAAGGUGCUGGCCGGGUACUAUUGGCCCGGCUCAACGAACGAGCACUGCCAUUGAACGGAAAUUCGUCAACCGCCACGAUUUUCGACACGCCGACUCGUGCUUAGUUCUACGGACCCGGAAAAACAGGAGCAGUAGACCAAGUAACUUAGUUUAAGAAACAACAUGUUGGGAUGAGGGAAAUAAAUUAGUACUGUAAGCUCAUGUAAGCUAUCAUUCGAUUGAUUU
This is a long non-coding RNA of Wyeomyia smithii (pitcher-plant mosquito), 3952 nucleotides long. RefSeq lists it as uncharacterized. Lineage: Eukaryota; Metazoa; Arthropoda; Insecta; Diptera; Culicidae. The transcript has 3 exons. The record is from RefSeq and is a predicted model, not a curated record.